RNAcentral lists this ribosomal RNA (253 nucleotides) under uncultured bacterium. Its description in RNAcentral is "partial 16S ribosomal RNA". It matches the Rfam family "Bacterial small subunit ribosomal RNA", at positions 524 to 776 of the family's 1533-position model. The record is from RNAcentral.
UACGUAGGGGGCGAGCGUUGUCCGGAUUUAUUGGGCGUAAAGAGCGUGUAGGCGGUUCGGUAAGUCUGUCGUGAAAUCCUGAGGCUCAACCUCGGGCGUGCGAUGGAUACUGCCAGGCUAGAGGGUGGUAGAGGCGAGUGGAAUUCCCGGUGUAGCGGUGAAAUGCGCAGAUAUCGGGAGGAACACCAGUAGCGAAGGCGGCUCGCUGGGCCACACCUGACGCUGAGACGCGAAAGCUAGGGGAGCGAACAGG